RNAcentral lists this ribosomal RNA (253 nucleotides) under uncultured bacterium. RNAcentral's name for it is "partial 16S ribosomal RNA". It matches the Rfam family "Bacterial small subunit ribosomal RNA", at positions 524 to 776 of the family's 1533-position model. The record is from RNAcentral.
UACGUAGGGUCCAAGCGUUAUCCGGAAUCACUGGGCGUAAAGCGUGCGUAGGUGGAUGUUUAAGUGAGAGGUUAAAUCGUGUGGCUCAACCAUAUCGAUGCCUCUCAUACUGGGCAUCUAGAGGACAGCAGAGGCAAGUGGAACUGGUAGUGUAGCAGAGAAAUGCGUAGAUAUUACCAAGAACACCAAUGGCGAAGGCAGCUUGCUGGGCUACUCCUGACACUGAGGUACGAAAGCGUGGGGAGCGAACAGG